RNAcentral lists this ribosomal RNA (878 nucleotides) under uncultured bacterium. RNAcentral describes it as "bacterial SSU rRNA". It matches the Rfam family "Bacterial small subunit ribosomal RNA", at positions 72 to 968 of the family's 1533-position model. The record is from RNAcentral.
CGAAGAGCUUGCUCUUCUGAUCAGUGGCGAACGGGUGAGUAACACGUGAGCAACCUACCCUUGACACUGGGAUAACAGUUGGAAACAGCUGCUAAUACCGGAUACGAACUCAGCAGGCAUCUGCCGAGUUGGAAAGCUCCGACGGUCAAGGAUGGGCUCGCGGCCUAUCAGCUUGUUGGUGAGGUAACGGCUCACCAAGGCGACGACGGGUAGCCGGCCUGAGAGGGCGACCGGCCACACUGGGACUGAGAUACGGCCCAGACUCCUACGGGAGGCAGCAGUGGGGAAUAUUGCGCAAUGGGCGAAAGCCUGACGCAGCAACGCCGCGUGCGGGAUGACGGCCUUCGGGUUGUAAACCGCUUUCAGCAGGGACGAAACUGACGGUACCUGCAGAAGAAGCACCGGCUAACUACGUGCCAGCAGCCGCGGUGAUACGUAGGGUGCGAGCGUUGUCCGGAAUUAUUGGGCGUAAAGAGCUCGUAGGCGGUCUGUCACGUCGGAAGUGAAAACUCGGGGCUCAACCCCGAGCCUGCUUUCGAUACGGGCAGACUUGAGGAAUGUAGGGGAGAACGGAAUUCCUGGUGGAGCGGUGGAAUGCGCAGAUAUCAGGAGGAACACCAGUGGCGAAGGCGGUUCUCUGGACAUUAACUGACGCUGAGGAGCGAAAGCGUGGGGAGCAAACAGGCUUAGAUACCCUGGUAGUCCACGCCGUAAACGGUGGGCACUAGGUGUGGGGGACUUCCACGUUCUCCGUGCCGUAGCUAACGCAUUAAGUGCCCCGCCUGGGGAGUACGGCCGCAAGGCUAAAACUCAAAGGAAUUGACGGGGGCCCGCACAAGCGGCGGAGCAUGUUCAUUAAUUCGAUGCAACGCGAAGAA